Molecule: long non-coding RNA, 1272 nt
Organism: Mauremys reevesii (Reeves's turtle)
Lineage: Eukaryota; Metazoa; Chordata; Testudines; Geoemydidae
Exons: 2
Source: RefSeq, a predicted model, not a curated record
AGAGCUGAAUAGGGCCACCUGGGCUCAAUCAGCUAAUUAUGCUGCAAACAGGGCAGCUUUAGGCUGGAGGCAGCUAAUUACAGAGAGGCUCCCCUGUGCAGGAACAGGCAGGGCCUAUAAAUCCAGGUAGCAGCCUAGAGACUAGGCUGCCGGGAAAGGCUGCAGGAAGGUAGGCAGCUGUUACUCCCUGCAAAGAGGUUUCUUGGAGCUGAUACACCCAGCGAGUGAAGGGGAACUAAAAUGGUUGGAAGUAGUUUAGGAAAGGAGCUGUGAGGACAGACAGAGAAAGCCCAGGGCUGCUAAGCUGAAGGUCCCUGGACUGGUACCCAGAAAAGAGAGUAGGCCUGGGUUUUCCUACAGCCACCAAGAGUGUGGCAUGGAAAUGAGGCAGUGAGUGGGAAGACUGCCUGUGAUUGUUGAUGGACUGGACCCUGGAAGGGAAAUGCUGAGUGACCUAGACAGAGGGCUACAUCACAAAGGAAACACUGAGAGUCCUGGAGUGAGAGGAGCUGCACACCAGAGUCAGAGUGAAGGUGUGUAAACCAUGGACAGGGGCGUCAGCCUUGAGAGCUAAUGCCCAGAGGAGGAGGCGCCAGCCCAGCGGUGUGUGGUGCACCCUGUGACAGGGAUGCUGUAGUACGAUAUGUGUAGGAAUUUUGGGAACUCUACUUUCAGGAAGCGCUUGAUACGAUAGAGUGGUAUACGUGGAGGAAGGAAUAAAGACUGAAUGUUGCACUGUCUUGGCUCCCUCUGUUUUUAUGCUCAGACACUGAACACAAGAGGGAGUGGCCCAUGGAUAGUUCUGAAUGAAGCAGCUUCUGGAGCUCCAGGGCCUCCUAAAUCAUCUCUCACUAUAAGCCAGCAUGGAGCCCUUCUCGUGUCCUGCUUUCCCUUGCAGAUUUUUGACGGGUCGCUUCUUGUUCCCCCUCCUCCUCCACAGCAAAGCACUGCUGAGUGGUGAGGAUGCACCAAUAUUUUCUUCAUUAUGGUAGUGCAGAUUCCACUGAACUGAUAGGAGAAAGAAGGCGCUAGACUGCUUGGGAUUCAUGUUUAAGCAUAUCUGAGCAAACACAACAUGAGACAUAUAUGAGCUGUGAGGUAUUUAAGCUGCAUAACUGCUCCUUGGACUUCCUAUUUUUCUACAGCACUCUUCAACUACUUUUGUGGCCGCAUAUUCCAUUAUUGCUAAGCUUUUAUAUGAAUUGUAGGGGCACCACCUAAUGGUAAAUAUUAAAUGGUACAACUCAAAAUUGUGCUAAAUAUUAAAUGGUA